GGGUUGUGAGGUUAAGCGACUAAGCGUACACGGUGGAUGCCCUGGCAGUCAGAGGCGAUGAAGGACGUGCUAAUCUGCGAUAAGCGUCGGUAAGGUGAUAUGAACCGUUAUAACCGGCGAUUUCCGAAUGGGGAAACCCAGUGUGUUUCGACACACUAUCAUUACGUGAAUACAUAGCGUAAUGAAGCGAACCGGGGGAACUGAAACAUCUAAGUACCCCGAGGAAAAGAAAUCAACCGAGAUUCCCCCAGUAGCGGCGAGCGAACGGGGAGCAGCCCAGAGUCUGAAUCAGCUUGUGUGUUAGUGGAACGGUCUGGAAAGUCCGACGGUACAGGGUGAUAGUCCCGUACACCAAAAUGCACAGGUUGUGAACUCGAAGAGUAGGGCGGGACACGUGGUAUCCUGUCUGAAUAUGGGGGGACCAUCCUCCAAGGCUAAAUACUCCUGACUGACCGAUAGUGAACCAGUACCGUGAGGGAAAGGCGAAAAGAACCCCGGCGAGGGGAGUGAAAAAGAACCUGAAACCGUGUACGUACAAGCAGUGGGAGCCUCUUUAUGGGGUGACUGCGUACCUUUUGUAUAAUGGGUCAGCGACUUAUAUUCUGUAGCAAGGUUAACCGUAUAGGGGAGCCGAAGGGAAACCGAGUCUUAACUGGGCGUUAAGUUGCAGGGUAUAGACCCGAAACCCGGUGAUCUAGCCAUGGGCAGGUUGAAGGUUGGGUAACACUAACUGGAGGACCGAACCGACUAAUGUUGAAAAAUUAGCGGAUGACUUGUGGCUGGGGGUGAAAGGCCAAUCAAACCGGGAGAUAGCUGGUUCUCCCCGAAAGCUAUUUAGGUAGCGCCUCGUGAAUUCAUCUUCGGGGGUAGAGCACUGUUUCGGCUAGGGGUCAUCCCGACUUACCAACCCGAUGCAAACUGCGAAUACCGAAGAAUGUUAUCACGGGAGACACACGGCGGGUGCUAACGUCCGUCGUGAAGAGGGAAACAACCCAGACCGCCAGCUAAGGUCCCAAAGUCAUGGUUAAGUGGGAAACGAUGUGGGAAGGCACAGACAGCCAGGAUGUUGGCUUAGAAGCAGCCAUCAUUUAAAGAAAGCGUAAUAGCUCACUGGUCGAGUCGGCCUGCGCGGAAGAUGUAACGGGGCUAAACCAUGCACCGAAGCUGCGGCAGCGACACUAUGUGUUGUUGGGUAGGGGAGCGUUCUGUAAGCCGUUGAAGGUGUAUCGUGAGGUAUGCUGGAGGUAUCAGAAGUGCGAAUGCUGACAUAAGUAACGAUAAUGCGGGUGAAAAACCCGCACGCCGGAAGACCAAGGGUUCCUGUCCAACGUUAAUCGGGGCAGGGUGAGUCGACCCCUAAGGCGAGGCCGAAAGGCGUAGUCGAUGGGAAACAGGUUAAUAUUCCUGUACUUGGUGUUACUGCGAAGGGGGGACGGAGAAGGCUAUGUUAGCCGGGCGACGGUUGUCCCGGUUUAAGCAUGUAGGCGGAGGUUCCAGGUAAAUCCGGUACCUUUUUAACGCUGAGGUGUGAUGACGAGGCACUACGGUGCUGAAGUAACAAAUGCCCUGCUUCCAGGAAAAGCCUCUAAGCAUCAGGUAACACGAAAUCGUACCCCAAACCGACACAGGUGGUCAGGUAGAGAAUACCAAGGCGCUUGAGAGAACUCGGGUGAAGGAACUAGGCAAAAUGGUGCCGUAACUUCGGGAGAAGGCACGCUGAUAUGUAGGUGAAGCGGUUUACCCGUGGAGCUGAAAUCAGUCGAAGAUACCAGCUGGCUGCAACUGUUUAUUAAAAACACAGCACUGUGCAAACACGAAAGUGGACGUAUACGGUGUGACGCCUGCCCGGUGCCGGAAGGUUAAUUGAUGGGGUUAUCCGUAAGGAGAAGCUCUUGAUCGAAGCCCCGGUAAACGGCGGCCGUAACUAUAACGGUCCUAAGGUAGCGAAAUUCCUUGUCGGGUAAGUUCCGACCUGCACGAAUGGCGUAAUGAUGGCCAGGCUGUCUCCACCCGAGACUCAGUGAAAUUGAACUCGCUGUGAAGAUGCAGUGUACCCGCGGCAAGACGGAAAGACCCCGUGAACCUUUACUAUAGCUUGACACUGAACACUGGUCCUUGAUGUGUAGGAUAGGUGGGAGGCUUUGAAGUGUGGACGCCAGUCUGCAUGGAGCCAUCCUUGAAAUACCACCCUUUAAUGGCUGGUGUUCUAACGUGGACCCGUUACCCGGGUUGCGGACAGUGUCUGGUGGGUAGUUUGACUGGGGCGGUCUCCUCCUAAAGAGUAACGGAGGAGCACGAAGGUUAGCUAAUCCUGGUCGGACAUCAGGAGGUUAGUGCAAAGGCAUAAGCUAGCUUGACUGCGAGAGUGACGGCUCGAGCAGGUGCGAAAGCAGGUCUUAGUGAUCCGGUGGUUCUGAAUGGAAGGGCCAUCGCUCAACGGAUAAAAGGUACUCCGGGAUAACAGGCUGAUACCGCCCAAGAGUUCAUAUCGACGGCGGUGUUUGGCACCUCGAUGUCGGCUCAUCACAUCCUGGGGCUGAAGUAGGUCCCAAGGGUAUGGCUGUUCGCCAUUUAAAGUGGUACGCGAGCUGGGUUUAGAACGUCGUGAGACAGUUCGGUCCCUAUCUGCCGUGGGCGCUGGAGAAUUGAGGGGGGCUGCUCCUAGUACGAGAGGACCGGAGUGGACGCAUCACUGGUGUUCGGGUUGUCAUGCCAAUGGCAUUGCCCGGUAGCUAAAUGCGGAAGAGAUAAGUGCUGAAAGCAUCUAAGCACGAAACUUGCCCCGAGAUGAGUUCUCCCUGAGACUAUAAGUCUCCUGAAGGAACGUUGAAGACGACGACGUUGAUAGGUCGGGUGUGUAAGUGUAGCGAUACAUUGAGCUAACCGAUACUAAUGAACCGUGAGGCUUAACCUUACAACGCCGAAGGUGUUU
This 2932-nucleotide ribosomal RNA is filed under the name Citrobacter sp. CF971. Its description in RNAcentral is "23S ribosomal RNA". It matches the Rfam family "Bacterial large subunit ribosomal RNA". The record is from RNAcentral. Lineage: Bacteria; Pseudomonadati; Pseudomonadota; Gammaproteobacteria; Enterobacterales; Enterobacteriaceae.